GCUUACCAUGCAGUCGAGCGGUAACAUGACUAGUAGCAAUACUAGUUGAUGACGAGCGGCGGACGGGUGAGUAACACGUAGGAACUUGCCCAAUAGAGGGGGACAACCAAGGGAAACUUUGGCUAAUACCGCAUAUUCUCGAGAGAGGAAAGCUGCCAGCAAUGGUGGCGCUAUUGGAGAGGCCUGCGUCUGAUUAGCUAGUUGGUAAGGUAAAAGCUUACCAAGGCGAUGAUCAGUAACUGGUUUGAGAGGACGGCCAGUCACACUGGGACUGAGACACGGCCCAGACUCCUACGGGAGGCAGCAGUGGGGAAUCUUGGACAAUGGGGGCAACCCUGAUCCAGCGAUGCCGCGUGAGUGAAGAAGGCCUUCGGGUCGUAAAGCUCUUUAGGCUGGGAGGAAGUCUACUCGUUUAAGAGAUAGGUAGUUUGACUGUACCGGCAGAAUAAGCACCGGCAAACUCUGUGCCAGCAGCCGCGGUAAUACAGAGGGUGCGAGCGUUAAUCGGAUUUACUGGGCGUAAAGGGUGCGUAGGUGGUUAUGCGAGUGUGAUGUGAAAGCCCCGGGCUUAACCUGGGAAGUGCAUCACAAACGGCAUAACUGGAGUAGAUAAGAGGGUGGUGGAAUUUCCCGGUGUAGCGGUGAAAUGC
RNAcentral lists this ribosomal RNA (650 nucleotides) under uncultured bacterium. Its description in RNAcentral is "bacterial SSU rRNA". It matches the Rfam family "Bacterial small subunit ribosomal RNA", at positions 46 to 689 of the family's 1533-position model. The record is from RNAcentral.